UACAGAGGUCUCAACCGUUGUUCGGAUUCAUUGGGCGUAAAGGGUGCGUAGGCGGUCGUGCAAGUCGGAUGUGAAAUCUCAGGGCUCAACCCUGAAACUGCAUUCGAUACUGCGUGGCUAGAGUGCUGGAGAGGAGACUGGAAUUUACGGUGUAGCAGUGAAAUGCGUAGAUAUCAAGAGGAACACCUGAGGUGAAGACGGGUUGCUGGGCCGACACUGACGCCGAGUGCGCGAAAGCCAGGGGAGCAAACGGG
This 254-nucleotide ribosomal RNA is filed under the name uncultured bacterium. RNAcentral describes it as "partial 16S ribosomal RNA". It matches the Rfam family "Bacterial small subunit ribosomal RNA", at positions 524 to 776 of the family's 1533-position model. The record is from RNAcentral.